Long non-coding RNA from Cebus imitator (Panamanian white-faced capuchin), 422 nucleotides. RefSeq lists it as uncharacterized. The record is from RefSeq and is a predicted model, not a curated record. Lineage: Eukaryota; Metazoa; Chordata; Mammalia; Primates; Cebidae. The transcript is spliced from 4 exons.
AAUUUUUUCUCCAGUGAUCCUCCCAAGCUCUGUGCUUCAGCAGCAGGGUCCUUGAACAUGUGAUUCCAAAUGCCGGAAACAUCAGAUGUCACUGUCCAAUCUCUUUUCUCAGCGAAACCUUUCCCGAUUCCUCUAGAUAAGGACCCCCAGGUUGCAAGUCACCUAACCUGAGUAUGGCCAGAAGAAUCAAGCAGGCCCAGGUCCUGACCUCAGAGCCAGCUGGAAUGAAAAAGCCAACCACAGGCAGAAUCUAAGUGCUUGGACCAAGCAACAGGGACCAAGUUAAAAAGCAAGGAAUGAAAUUAUUUUGGUAGAGCAGAAUGAGCAGGACAUCACUACAGAGCAUCCCUUGGUGGUCCUGGGGAAUAUUGCACAAGUGUUUCCCAAGAAGGCAGGAGCAUUCACGAACACUUAAAGGUAAA